RNAcentral lists this ribosomal RNA (253 nucleotides) under uncultured bacterium. RNAcentral's name for it is "partial 16S ribosomal RNA". It matches the Rfam family "Bacterial small subunit ribosomal RNA", at positions 524 to 776 of the family's 1533-position model. The record is from RNAcentral.
GACGUAGGGGGCAAGCGUUGUCCGGAAUGACUGGGCGUAAAGGGCGCGUAGGCGGACUGCACAGUCAGGCGUGAAAUUCCUGGGCUUAACCUGGGGACUGCGUCUGAGACGUGUGAUCUAGAGUGAGGAAGAGGGUCGUGGAAUUUCCAGUGUAGAGGUGAAAUUCGUAGAUAUUGGAAAGAACACCGGUGGCGAAGGCGGCGACCUGGUCCUUGACUGACGCUGAGGCGCGAAAGCGUGGGGAGCAAACAGG